UGAGGAAUAUUGGUCAAUGGGCGCGAGCCUGAACCAGCCAAGUAGCGUGAAGGAUGAAGGUCCUAUGGAUUGUAAACUUCUUUUAUAGCAGAAUAAAGUGACCCACGUGUGGGUUUUUGUAUGUAUGCUAUGAAUAAGGAUCGGCUAACUCCGUGCCAGCAGCCGCGGUAAUACGGAGGAUCCGAGCGGUAUCCGGAUUUAUUGGGUUUAAAGGGUGCGUAGGCGGAAAGAUAAGUCAGCCUGUGAAAGUUUGCGGCUCAACCGUAAAAUUGCAGUUGAUACUGUUUUUCUUGAGUGUACAUAAGNUAGACGGAAUUCGUGGUGUAGCGGUGAAAUGCUUAGAUAUCACGAAGAACUCCGAUUGCGAAGGCAGCUUACCGGGGUACAACUGACGCUGAUGCACGAAAGUGUGGGUAUCAAACA
This 423-nucleotide ribosomal RNA is filed under the name uncultured bacterium. RNAcentral describes it as "bacterial SSU rRNA". It matches the Rfam family "Bacterial small subunit ribosomal RNA", at positions 355 to 774 of the family's 1533-position model. The record is from RNAcentral.